This 463-nucleotide ribosomal RNA is filed under the name uncultured bacterium. RNAcentral's name for it is "partial 16S ribosomal RNA". It matches the Rfam family "Bacterial small subunit ribosomal RNA", at positions 28 to 507 of the family's 1533-position model. The record is from RNAcentral.
GAUGAACGCUGACAGAAUGCUUAACACAUGCAAGUCUUUGGCGAAGCUGUGCUUGCACAGCCUAGCCAAGGCGGACGGGUGAGUAACGCGUAAGGAACUUGCCCUGCAGUCAGGGAUAACAGACGGAAACGACUGAUAAGACCUGGUAAAGUCAGGCGGACUCAUGUCCAGCCUGAUGAAAAGAGAUGCUGCAGGAGAGCCUUGCGUCCUAUUAGCUUGUUGGUGGGGUAACGGCCCACCAAGGCGAUGAUAGGUAGCCGGCCUGAGAGGGUGGACGGCCACAAGGGGACUGAGAUACGGCACUUACUCCUACGGGAGGCAGGAGUGGGGAAUAUUGGACAAUGGGGGCAACCCUGAUCCAGCAAUUCUGUGUGCACGAUGAAGGUUUUCGGAUUGUAAAGUGCUUUCAGCAGGGAAGAAAAAAAUGACGGUACCUGCAGAAGAAGCGACGGCUAAAUACGUG